GAUGAACGCUGGCGGCGUGCCUAAUACAUGCAAGUCGAACGAAACUUCUUUAUCACCGAGUGCUUGCACUCACCGAUAAAGAGUUGAGUGGCGAACGGGUGAGUAACACGUGGGCAACCUGCCCAAAAGAGGGGGAUAACACUUGGAAACAGGUGCUAAUACCGCAUAACCAUAGUUACCGCAUGGUAACUAUGUAAAAGGUGGCUAUACUACCGCUUUUGGAUGGGCCCGCGGCGCAUUAGCUAGUUGGUAGGGUAAAGGCUUACCAAGGCAAUGAUGCGUAGCCGAAUUGAGAGGUUGAUCGGCCACAUUGGGACUGAGACACGGCCCAAACUCCUACGGGAGGCAGCAGUAGGGAAUCUUCCGCAGUGGGCGAAAGCCUGAUGGAGCAACGCCGCGUGGGUGAAGAAGGUCUUCGGAUCGUAAAACCCUGUUGUUAGAGAAGAAAGUGCGUGAGAGUAACUGUUCACGUUUCGACGGUAUCUAACCAGAAAGCCACGGCUAACUACGUG
This 512-nucleotide ribosomal RNA is filed under the name uncultured bacterium. Its description in RNAcentral is "partial 16S ribosomal RNA". It matches the Rfam family "Bacterial small subunit ribosomal RNA", at positions 28 to 507 of the family's 1533-position model. The record is from RNAcentral.